GAAAAAGCAAUACCCUUUUUGACUUCCCUACAUUGCUUCAAAAUAUAAAGCCCCACAAAGAAAUCCAUGGAAAAAAAUCACUUUUUUCUCGCCGUGAUUAUCGGCAAUUAAUCAUAUACGUAAGAAAGCUAUAUCACUAUCAGAAAAUGUUAAUGAGAAAAUAAAAAUGAAAAUUUGAAAAGAGCCCACGAAAAUAAAGCAUGAUUAAGAAAAAGGGUUUAGUUAAGUUAAGCUUACCGGUUUGAUUAUUGAAAGAUAAUUGAAAAAGUGAGUUUGAGAUCUAUGUAUGUAUGUAUCUAUGAUAAGAAAAAAACAUGACUAGUUCUUGAAAAGAUAGUAGUGUGUUGAAAAUGAGAAAGGGUUGAAUGAGUAUGUAGUGUGUUUUAUAAGAAGUGGUCUCAUACGAACGAGUAACAUACAACUGUCACCUUUGCAAGACACGGAAAAAACAGACAGAGAACGAACGAGUUUAUCUUAUAAGCAGUCAAGCACUACCGGCCAGCCAUGAUUUAAGCCUCUU
RNAcentral lists this long non-coding RNA (520 nucleotides) under Trifolium pratense (red clover). RNAcentral describes it as "long non-coding RNA (TPRA_LNC007033)". Lineage: Eukaryota; Viridiplantae; Streptophyta; Magnoliopsida; Fabales; Fabaceae. The record is from RNAcentral.